This is a long non-coding RNA of Prinia subflava (tawny-flanked prinia), 3241 nucleotides long. RefSeq lists it as uncharacterized. The record is from RefSeq and is a predicted model, not a curated record. The transcript is spliced from 3 exons. NCBI's taxonomy places the organism in Eukaryota, Metazoa, Chordata, Aves, Passeriformes, Cisticolidae.
UAGACACAUGGCACAUUUUCAAGGAAGAUGAGUGAUUUAACUGAAAAAGUUGCCAGUCAAGUCAAUGGAUUCAUACCUCUCAAAUACCUAUGCCUUUCAGAAGAGAACAGUAGGGAAAAGUGAAGUUUCUAAAAGUUAGACCCAAAAAAUGAGUUAGUCUUGAAGUCAAGUUCCUGGAAAAGGACUUGCCACAAGUGCAUACAGUGACAGGACAAGGGGCAACAGCCUUAAGAUGAAGAAUAGAUUUAGAUUACGUAUUAGGAUGAAACUCUUUAACAGUGGUAAGGCACUGGAACAGGUUUCCCAGAGAUGUGGGACACUCCACCCUUGGAAAUGUUCAAGCCCAGGUUAUAUGGGACUCUGAGUAACCUGCUCUAAUGGAAGGUAUCCCUGCUUAUGAUGGUGGGAUCAGAAUUAGAUGAUCUUUAAGGUCGCUUUCACUCUAUGAUCCUAUGAUUUUACAAAGGAAAAUGAGUGUUUCUAAUAUGUAGCUCUAUGUGCUGUCCCCUGUCCAUGAGUCAGACUGGCCUCCAGUGGCUCAAAGUUCUUUAAGACAACAGGGUACACUGAGGAAAAUGCCUCUAAUAUCUGGUUCAUGAAAGGUCCCAGAGCUUUCCAAAACUGCUGGGGUCCAAGGACAUUUCCUAGAUUGUCUGAGACAAUAGCAUGUGUUCUAAGCUUAUGGAGGGGGUUCAGUCAGUUCAGUAUGAUUUAUAUCAUAGAAUCACUAAAGACCUCUAAGAUCAACAAGUCUAACCUAACACUGCCAAGUCUAUACUAAACCAUGUUCCUCAGUGCCAUAUCUAUGAAUGUCCCAUGAGGAUAUAUCUUUCCUGAGAGACAAGCUAGUGCUUACAUUCUUUCUCUUUUCUCAAGAAAUUUCCCAUCCUUUUGACUUUUAUCAUUUUUAUUAUCAUUCUCUGGACUUGUUCUAUUUCUACUUUCUUUUUUCAGGGAUGAGGUGACCAAAUUUGAAGACAGUAUUCAAAGUGAGGAUGUGCCACUGAUUUAUAUAAUAGUAUUAUAAUAUUUUCCAUAUUAUUCUCUAAAACUCUUUUCUUUGUACAAACCCUGUAAGAUUCUUUUAAUUCUUUGAACUACAGUGCCUUUUAACAUCUGUAGUUUACUCUGAUCAGAUUUUAACAAAGGAAUAAAAGGCUCCAUUUUUCACAUAGAAUUUUAUUUAUUGUUUGAACUUUAGAGGAGAAAUUGGUUAAGUUACAAUUUAAAAUUCUUGGCAAUGUAGACCACUGGGUAAGGAUUUCAUUAUCAGCCCUUCUAUAAUUUCUGUAGAAGUGUGUGAGGCUAAAAGGUAAUGUACAACAUCUUCACUCUUGGACUUGUCUUUUGCUUUAUAUACAUGGAGAAAACCUAAUUUGGAGCUACCAGCAUCCCCAAAGGUGUCAGAAAGGGCAUUCACCUGUACCCCCUUUCUGAUGAAGCAGGCUGGAGCCCCACAUUUACAUGCAGUUCAUCCAGAACAAAGUGCACAUGCAGAACCUGAAUUUUGCCAUUUCCCACAUACUGUACCUCACACUUCCAUGCCAGGUCAGGGAAAAACAUCUUUGCAAAUGAUGCACUUGAUGGCUGCAGAGGGUACGGAUCUUGCUCUUGUGUCACAGCUUGGCAUUAUGCCUUCAUCAGGAUAUUAGAAAAGGCUCAGGGAUAACAGUUACAGGUAUUCUAUAGCCUGAGACACUUCCGGCACCUCCUGCCUUUCUUUAGAAUUACCAAUCCAAGUGGUGACCCUGCCUGACCCUACUUAUCUUGUAAAAGCUGACAAGAUCACAGCCUGAAGCAGUAUAGCCACAGGCUCAAUACUGGCUACCAAAAUGGCUGUUUAGUGUUUUCAAGAAACAUUGCUCUAAAGAUUUACAAUACCAGAUGUGAGAUAUAUGGACAACAUUGACGCACAGCCCUGACCCUGAACAUUCAGCCCCACUUACACAGAAAUUUGUGUCUCUCAAGGGGCCAACACUGAGCUGCCACAAAAUAGUGAUUCCCUACCUGCAAGCAAGUGGUUUUUAGUACUAUUUGAUUAUAUAUACUAAGACAUUGGGUAAAAGUAUUUGAAAGCUAUGGUCUUGAGUUCAGAAUUCAUGCUUAGUUUUUUUUAUCAGUUGCGUUACUGCUUUAGCAAUAGAAAGAUCCCUGCCAUUUCUGUGUAAUAUAUAGAAUUUAUUUUUAGUUUGGUGUAGAGAAUUUUCUUCACUCUUCCAUGACCAAAGCCGUUUCUCAUUAGAAGUUAUUUUUAGAUGAACUGUAAGUUUCCUCCCUAGCAAAAAUUUUGGCUGCACCAAGUGAAAGCAAAUGCACAUUUCCUCAGAUGUCUCUAAGGCUAAAAACAGGUUUAAAUAUAAAAAAAAAAUUAAGGGUUUAGUUGCAUAUACCUUCAUACACUGAAUGCAUUAAGUUCUUGCAAAGCAGUGUGGGCUUUUUUUCCCCUCUUCUUUUUAGAACAGCAAAGACUUGGAACAGAUAUAGAGGUCCUAUUGCUCCUGUUGGAAACUUCUGUUGACUGCAGCAUGAGUUGGAUGGGACCCAGAGAAACCAAAUACAGACAAGUAACGAUGACUUGGCCAUACAAGCAAGGAAAAUCACAGAUAACAGAUCUGGUAUAGAGCUGAGCACUCUCAUUGUCUUGUCAUCAAAAGGCCCUCCUGAUGUGUCUAGGGGAAAGCUGCAAGCAUUCUGGACAGGAAUGUUUCAGCUACCUGCAGCCUCAUCCGAUGAUGCUUAAUGAUCUCAGCUAGCUCGAUCUUCUGUGCGUCAGCAGGGACUUCUUUAAAUUGGUCAACUGUAUAGAACAUUGUUUUCAAGUUUAAUGUACUUGGAAUUAAUCUUAUAAAAUAAUGGCAUAUUUAAAGGCAGGUUAUAUACAUAACACAGACAUGUAUGUGUGCAUUUAUAUGUUUAUGUGUGUAUACAUGUGUAUAUAAGCAUAAGUGCACACAUGAAUAGAAAUGCUGAUGCUAUUUACCUUUUUGAAAUCUUUACAGCUACUAUUAACAUGAAUGUGCAGUUAAAUUGGCAGAGUUAUACAUUUUUGUUGGAGUUCACUUCUGUAAGAUAAAAUCAUAAAGAUAAGCUGUGAAACUCGUGCAGCUGAUGACAUAAUUCUAGAAUCUCGUGAUGCUGAAUCUCAUAUUUCUAGGAGUGUGGGAUGGAUGUUGCUCACUGAAAUAAUUAUACUGCCUAUUCCAAUAUAUGUUUCCUUGUUUUUAUGUGGGCACUGAGGUGU